GAAAUGCGAUAAGUAAUGUGAAUUGCAGAAUUCAGUGAAUCAUCGAAUCUUUGAACGCACAUUGCGCCCGCCAGUAUUCUGGCGGGCAUGCCUGUUCGAGCGUCAUUUCAACCAUCAAGCCCCCGGCUUGUGUUGGGGACCUGCGGCUGCCCGCAGGCCCUUAAAAACAGUGGCGGGCUCGCUGUCACACCGAGCGUAGUAGCAUACAUUCUCGCUCAGGGCGUGCUGCGGGUUCCGGCCGUUAAACGACCUUCAUAACCCAAGGUUGACCUCGGAUCAGGUAGGAAGACCCGCUGAACUUAAGC
Molecule: unclassified non-coding RNA, 305 nt
Filed under: plant metagenome
Description: partial contains 5.8S ribosomal RNA, internal transcribed spacer 2, and large subunit ribosomal RNA
Rfam family: 5.8S ribosomal RNA (bases 1-105)
Source: RNAcentral